UACGUAGGGGCAAGCGUUGUCCGGAUUAUUGGGCGUAAAGGAGCGUGUAGGCGGCCAGGGAGGUCCGUUGUGAAACUCGAGGCUCAACCUCGAGACGCCGAUGGAAACCCCUGGCUAGCAGUCCGGAAGAGGAGAAUGGAAUUCCUGGUGUAGCGGUGGAAAUGCGCAGAUAUCAGGAGAACACCCGUGGCUAAGGCGGUUCUCUAGUACGGUACUGACGCUGAGACGCGAAAGCGUGGGGAGCGAACAGG
This 251-nucleotide ribosomal RNA is filed under the name uncultured bacterium. Its description in RNAcentral is "partial 16S ribosomal RNA". It matches the Rfam family "Bacterial small subunit ribosomal RNA", at positions 524 to 776 of the family's 1533-position model. The record is from RNAcentral.